UUUCCGCUGCCAUGUAAGAAGUGCCUUUUGCCUCCCACUAUCAUUCUGAGGCCUUCCCACCCAUGUGGAACUCUGAACUCACAAGAAAAUAAGGAAGACCUCCUGGAGGGAAAACAAGCAAGAACUGAAAACAAGUGCCGUCAGUGAAUGGAAUGAGGGAUACGAUGCAAGUCACGGAAGAAGAGUUUCCAAUUACACCAUGGCGGAGAAGAAAGAAAGAAAAUGACACAACCACACGUACCACAGCUCAGAGUUUCAAAGACCACGUUAAGAUUUCUCAAGCAUGUACCCUGUGACAGUCACUUCACUAAAAAUCAGAAACUCAAACAUGGAACUGGAUGCUAGUUCUGUCCUCAAGAAGCUCAGAGUCUUUCAGAAAAAGAGGAGCCGUGAGACAAAUUACCAAGUGCAAGCUCAGAAGCCUUGCGUUUGUGGUGAGAGAUGAAGAGGGAGUUUGUAAAGAUGUGAAAGCAGGGUCUUUCUCCUUGAAGUUCUGGGGAGGAAUUGUAAAUCUGUUUGUCUAUUGCCAAAGAAUACUUGCCUUGGAAACUAGAGAGAGCCUCAGAUUCAGUCUCAGUGAUAAAGUGCUUCUAAACUGGGUCAGGGACAAAAACAAAGGACAGACGAUACCAUAAAUAAUGAACUUAUGGGGCAGAAAGUGUCAGCUCAAGUAUUUAGAGGCUCUCUACAAGGAAAAGGAAACUAGGAAUGUAAUGAUUUCAUGAGAGGUUUUGGAAGCCUUCAAAAUCAAUAAAUCAAUUAAUUAUUUAGUUCAGUACUUUUCUCUCUUACUAGCAUAUUAUGAUUUCCCCAACUUCAUCUCUCCCUGGUCAUAUCUGUCCUCUACAAUAUUCCAAGGUUGAUCUUUCUGGGAUAAUAUUUUGAUCUUGUUACUCUCCUUUUAAGAAUAAAGGUAAAAUUUAAAUGGUCA
RNAcentral lists this long non-coding RNA (931 nucleotides) under Homo sapiens (human). RNAcentral's name for it is "novel transcript". The record is from RNAcentral. Lineage: Eukaryota; Metazoa; Chordata; Mammalia; Primates; Hominidae.